GAACGAGAAAGGGGAGCAAUCCCUGAGUAAAGUGGCGACCGGGUGAGUAACACGUGACUACCUACCCUUGAGUGGGGGAUAACCCCGGGAAACCGGGGCUAAUACCGCAUAACAUCGAGAGAUCAAAGGAGCAAUCCGCUCUUGGAGGGGGUCGCGGCCUAUCAGCUUGUUGGUGGGGUAACGGCCUACCAAGGCGACGACGGGUAGCCGGCCUGAGAGGGCGACCGGCCACACUGGGACUGAGACACGGCCCAGACUCCUACGGGAGGCAGCAGUGGGGAAUAUUGCGCAAUGGGCGAAAGCCUGACGCAGCGACGCCGCGUGGGGGAUGAAGGCCUUCGGGUUGUAAACCCCUUUCAGCAGGGACGAAGCGAGAGUGACGGUACCUGCAAAAGAAGCGCCGGCUAACUACGUG
This 415-nucleotide ribosomal RNA is filed under the name uncultured bacterium. RNAcentral's name for it is "bacterial SSU rRNA". It matches the Rfam family "Bacterial small subunit ribosomal RNA", at positions 64 to 507 of the family's 1533-position model. The record is from RNAcentral.